RNAcentral lists this transfer RNA (73 nucleotides) under Stegodyphus mimosarum. It matches the Rfam family "tRNA". From Rfam's summary of the family: Transfer RNA (tRNA) molecules are approximately 80 nucleotides in length. Their secondary structure includes four short double-helical elements and three loops (D, anti-codon, and T loops). Lineage: Eukaryota; Metazoa; Arthropoda; Arachnida; Araneae; Eresidae. The record is from Rfam by way of RNAcentral.
GCCUUCGUGGUGUAGUGGUCAGCACACUCAACGCAAAUUCGAGAGGUUUGUGGUUCGAGUCCUGGCAAGGGCA